GUCGACCGGUCGGUCAUUCACGUGCCCGACCCACAAGUGGAGGCUCCGCACUCCCACCUCGCUGGCUUCCGGUCGGCAGGUCUCCGGUCAGACGGUCCCCAUCGUUCCGUACGGACGAUGGAGCCGUCCGAGAUGCGCCCCGCGGCUCACCGUGGUGGUGCUCCGGUUGUCAGGAGCCCCGCCUGUGUCCCGUCCGGGGCCUUUUUC
This 207-nucleotide non-coding RNA is filed under the name Streptomyces caatingaensis. RNAcentral describes it as "Streptomyces RNA 1601". It matches the Rfam family "Streptomyces RNA 1601". Rfam says of the family: Identified by deep sequencing of transcriptome at the end of exponential growth phase. Lineage: Bacteria; Bacillati; Actinomycetota; Actinomycetes; Kitasatosporales; Streptomycetaceae. The record is from Rfam by way of RNAcentral.